This 496-nucleotide ribosomal RNA is filed under the name uncultured bacterium. RNAcentral's name for it is "partial 16S ribosomal RNA". It matches the Rfam family "Bacterial small subunit ribosomal RNA", at positions 28 to 506 of the family's 1533-position model. The record is from RNAcentral.
GAUGAACGCUGGCGGCGUGCCUAAUACAUGCAAGUCGAGCGAACAGACGAGGAGCUUGCUCCUCUGACGUUAGCGGCGGACGGGUGAGUAACACGUGGAUAACCUACCUAUAAGACUGGGAUAACUUCGGGAAACCGGAGCUAAUACCGGAUAAUAUAUUGAACCGCAUGGUUCAAUAGUGAAAGACGGUUUUGCUGUCACUUAUAGAUGGAUCCGCGCCGCAUUAGCUAGUUGGUAAGGUAACGGCUUACCAAGGCAACGAUGCGUAGCCGACCUGAGAGGGUGAUCGGCCACACUGGAACUGAGACACGGUCCAGACUCCUACGGGAGGCAGCAGUAGGGAAUCUUCCGCAAUGGGCGAAAGCCUGACGGAGCAACGCCGCGUGAGUGAUGAAGGUCUUCGGAUCGUAAAACUCUGUUAUUAGGGAAGAACAAAUGUGUAAGUAACUAUGCACGUCUGGACGGUACCUAAUCAGAAAGCCACGGCGAACUACGU